CUAGUUUUUAUGUACUCUCAAGCAUGUAGAUUAACUGACACGAGGUUGUUCUGGCUUAAAUAAGGUCUCUGGUUCGUGUCUUUGUGAAUGCAGUUUCCUUAUCCGCUACACGAAGAAAGUCAAAGUCGAUGGAUAAGUCUUGCGAUUUGUUCAAACCAGAAGAAAAAAGGAAAAAAAAUAUGUGUCCAAAGAGAAAAUGAGAAAGCCUGCUAGGUUGGAAAUCCAAGUACGGUUAGCAUAGGCAAAAGGUAAAGCUAAAAAACAAAAUCUUCCUUAGGCUAAAAACCCACAAGAGCAGUCAAGAUAAAACAAGGGCAUUGCCAAAAAAGAAGACACAUCGAUACUUAGAAAAUUUGAGAUGAGUGAUAAUGUUGUGAAGUUAAGGUAAGUGGGAAGGAAACUUUGUUGCUAAAAGGGAUGUGAAGAUGUUUGCAAAUCUAAAGUCUUAGAGCUGAGAAAUGAACACAAUGUGGACAAGCCUAAUCAGUUUCUUUGAUCAGUCAUCAUUUUUAUGCAGUUUGGAAAUGCCUUAAGCAUUCAAAGGCGUUAUCGAGGUAUAAGGAGCUUGUUUGCGAGUCUAUCUUGAGAUUGUUCUGGUGCAUGGGGCUCUUUGCUAUCAGAGGAUGGACGUGGGUCCUUCUUGUCCAUUUUGGUGCUGCUUGUUUUUCCAGGAUGUCGAUGAUGUGGCUCUUCAUGCCUUUAUUACUAUGGCAUAAUGUAAUAUGGGAGAGGAGGAAUAAACUUGUUUUUCAGCGGGUGCGACUUCUAUUUGAUUUGGUGUUUCAGCAAGCCGAUGUCUUUGGUCUCCUUCUAAUUUGCGUCACGUCGAGAGAUUCCACACACCUCCAACCUUCUUGGAGUUAUCCUACACAGGGGGUGUUAAGGUCAAUUUUGAUACUUCUAUGAUUGUUUUGCAUGUGGUUGGAUUUGGAUUCAUAGUGAGGGAUCAUGAAGGUUAUAUUUUAGUUGUAGCUGCCGCUUCCCCGUUCAAUGUGCUUUAACCGGUGACUGCGGAUGCUUUAUCUUUGAGAUAGGCUUUAUCUUUAGCUUUAGAUUUGAUUUUGAAGAGAGUGAGCUUUGAGAUAGAUUGUUGAAACUCUUCAACCUUUGGUGUAAACUCAUCUUUGGUAGAUCUCAUUUACAUUCAGUUGUGUGU
Molecule: long non-coding RNA, 1156 nt
Organism: Lotus japonicus
Lineage: Eukaryota; Viridiplantae; Streptophyta; Magnoliopsida; Fabales; Fabaceae
Exons: 2
Source: RefSeq, a predicted model, not a curated record